GGGGGCGCACUGGUUUCGACGGGGGUUUUGAAGCUUGAGUAGCGAGUCGAUGUUGCUGAUCAUCGUAAAAAGCGGCGCAUAAAUAUAAACGCAAAAACAGAAAAAAGUUACGGAAUGGCUUUAGCUGCAUAAUAACGCACUAAAGUUGUUUUAAGACUUCGCGGCAAAAUUAUUGCCGCACGCCUCCCGGUUCAACCUGUGGUUCAGGGUUUCGGCGUUCAUCGAAGCAGGGAACCGUUUUAGGUUGUGUCUCGGGCCUUUAACGCAUAAGAGACUGGUUUCUUUUUUCCUUUGUCAUUGGAGAAGAAGAGGAAUGAGAAAAUAAUCAAUGACUGCACUCGGAGAAGCUCCUGUGAAUGGACUUUCGGACGUGGGUUCGACUCCCACCGCCUCCACCA
RNAcentral lists this transfer-messenger RNA (398 nucleotides) under Acetobacterium paludosum. Its description in RNAcentral is "Standard tmRNA". It matches the Rfam family "transfer-messenger RNA". From Rfam's summary of the family: Bacterial tmRNA, also known as 10Sa RNA or SsrA, is named for its dual tRNA and mRNA-like properties. Its role is to liberate the mRNA from a stalled ribosome. Lineage: Bacteria; Bacillati; Bacillota; Clostridia; Eubacteriales; Eubacteriaceae. The record is from Rfam by way of RNAcentral.